AUGAUGCCCCAUUGUCACCACGAGUAUUCAAUUGCAAUACAUAUAUCAAGUGUUCUCAAAUCCAUAAAAGUAUUCAAUUCGAUAACAAUGAAAUCUCAAAGAGAAAAACUCAAUUCAUCACAACAAGAUAGAGAGGGGGAAACACCAUAUGAUCCGACUAUAUUAACAAAGCCCGCGAUACAUCAAUAUCGUGACAUCUCAAGAACACGAGAGAGAGAGAGAGAGAUUAAACACAUAGCUACUGGUACAAACCCUCAGCCCCGAGGGUGGACUACUCCCUCCUCAUCGUGGUGGCCGCCGGGAUGA
This 306-nucleotide ribosomal RNA is filed under the name Triticum aestivum (bread wheat). RNAcentral's name for it is "partial small subunit ribosomal RNA". Lineage: Eukaryota; Viridiplantae; Streptophyta; Magnoliopsida; Poales; Poaceae. The record is from RNAcentral.